Molecule: ribosomal RNA, 433 nt
Filed under: uncultured bacterium
Lineage: Bacteria
Description: partial 16S ribosomal RNA
Rfam family: Bacterial small subunit ribosomal RNA
Source: RNAcentral
AACGAACGCUGGCGGCAUGCCUAACACAUGCAAGUCGAACGAGACCUCCGGGUAGAGUGGCGCCCGGGUGCGUAACGCGGGGGAACCUGGCCAUAGGUUCGGAAUAACCCCCCGAAAGGGGGACUAAUACCGGAAAAUGUCUUCGGACCAAAGAUUGCUCGCCAUUGGGUAGGCCGGCGUGGGAUAAGUUAGUUGGUAGGGUAAAGGCAUGCCAAGGAUACGAUCCAUGGCUGGGCUGGGAGGCGGAUCAGCAACACUGGGACUGCGACACGGAGCAGACUGCUACGGGAGGCAGCGGUGGGGAGUCUUAGCCAGCCGGCGCGAGCCUGAUACGGCAGUGUCGCGUGAGUGAUGCAGGUCUUAGGGUGGUAAAGCUCUUUUACCGGGGAUGAUAAUGACAGUACCGGAUGAAUAAGCUCCGGCUAACUCCGUG